Long non-coding RNA from Olea europaea var. sylvestris, 873 nucleotides. RefSeq lists it as uncharacterized. The transcript is spliced from 2 exons. Lineage: Eukaryota; Viridiplantae; Streptophyta; Magnoliopsida; Lamiales; Oleaceae. The record is from RefSeq and is a predicted model, not a curated record.
UGGACGUGAUUUCACAGCCAAAACACAACCCUUCUCCAUUUCCCCAACCUAUGAGUCUCUUAUCCCUAAUUCGUACAUCCAGCCCUAGAUCAAUUUCCUUCCAAAUCCUCCCCCAAAUCGAUUCUUCCACACCUCAUUGGCAAAAUUGCCAGAAGUUCUUCAUCUUCCAAUGGACACCAUCCCCGACUGCAGGUGAUUUUCAACCCAUAAACUUUGAACCACAUCCCGUUACCUAAACGUUCAAAAUGCAAAGGAGGAAACCAUAGGAGCCCAACCAACCGUGAGAAAAACUCCGUUUGAUUCAUGGUAGACUGAUAGGCGCAAGAGGAAGGGGCUCAUCGAACGAUAACGUGCAUGAAGACCGUCAAAUGCAAUUCAUGCCUAUGCCUAUGGUUGCGGGAGAAACACAGACUGGUAUGCUUAGAUCUAGACCAGCAGCCACUUUGGUUGAUGAGUUGCAAGACAUAGAUGAGGCUGAAUCUUCAAGAUUGAGAGUGAAAAGGCACGACAUAACUGACUUGUGAACAAUUGGAUGGUCACUUCGAUGUGGUCUUCAUGCAAUGACGGACAUCAUAUUCCCCUGUUGUUUAUAAGUUAGAUGUUUAGGCAAUAUCAUCAUGCGUUCUUGUGGAUGGUUUUUAUUGUGUAAGUAUAUCAGACAAUUUUAAUCGGAUUUUGUUCCCAUGUUAACUGGAUUUUUUUUUGCUGUCUUGCUACUCAUUUGCUGUGAAGUUUUUGCCUAUUGAAAUCGGCAAAUUUUUGUUUUGUAUGUUAAUUGUCCGCAGAUAUUAGAGACUUUCUUUUGAUAUCACAAUUGGUGUCUUGUAAAUUUGUAAUGAGAGCUGUUCUGUUGAAUAUGGUCUUUUACUAGCU